GGAGGAGGGCACUCGAGCUCGAGAAUGGCAAGCAGCGGCGCUAGGGCAAUAGUGCAGAAGAUGAAUGGGUGCAAUGGCUCGGGUGAAAUGGAAGAGAUGAGUCCCUCCGUUAUUUAUAAUCACGACAUAGUUAACCGAGAGGCAAAAAUUACGGGGAAUAUUCCGUUUUUAAAAGCCCUCAAUUAUCGUUGGAACUAUUUCCAAUUUUUUUUGAAAAAGAUAAGGUUUCUAAAGCUGAACGAUCACGUGGACCAAAGGUUGACCCUUAUACCCAAACUAGUUGUGUAACGGCUCAGGGGCUGUGUGCCACGUGCCCGUUGGACAAAAAGUUUUUUCUUUGAGUUUUAAGGAAAAAAU
Molecule: long non-coding RNA, 357 nt
Filed under: Setaria viridis
Lineage: Eukaryota; Viridiplantae; Streptophyta; Magnoliopsida; Poales; Poaceae
Description: long non-coding RNA (SVIR_LNC003930)
Source: RNAcentral